This 304-nucleotide long non-coding RNA is filed under the name Brassica napus (rape). Its description in RNAcentral is "long non-coding RNA (BNAP_LNC020005)". Lineage: Eukaryota; Viridiplantae; Streptophyta; Magnoliopsida; Brassicales; Brassicaceae. The record is from RNAcentral.
UAGGGAAUUUAGAUAGGUUUACUGAUUUUAUGUUAAUUAGUGUUGAUUUGGUGGUUAAUAUAGGGAAUUUAACUAGAUUUAUAGAAUUUGUUAAUUAUUGUUGAUGUUAAUUUUAAAAAUUAAUUUUGUUUCCAGACGAUUCGAAAGAAUAGACUUACUUCCCAUUACAGACAAAUGUUCGGUGAGCCUGGUAGUCGUUUAGACCCGUCGUCCUCUUCAGCUCCCGGUUCUUCUUCAACUCAGUCAGCUAGGCAGAGAAGGUUUAACAGUCAUAGACCCCGACCGAUCGGACGGAACUUUGUGG